This 253-nucleotide ribosomal RNA is filed under the name uncultured bacterium. Its description in RNAcentral is "partial 16S ribosomal RNA". It matches the Rfam family "Bacterial small subunit ribosomal RNA", at positions 524 to 776 of the family's 1533-position model. The record is from RNAcentral.
UACGAAGGGGGCUAGCGUUGCUCGGAAUCACUGGGAGUAAAGGGUGCGUAGGCGGGUCUUUAAGUCAGGGGUGAAAUCCUGGAGCUCAACUCCAGAACUGCCUUUGAUACUGAAGAUCUUGAGUUCGGGAGAGGUGAGUGGAACUGCGAGUGUAGAGGUGAAAUUCGUAGAUAUUCGCAAGAACACCAGUGGCGAAGGCGGCUCACUGGCCCGAUACUGACGCUGAGGCACGAAAGCGUGGGGAGCAAACAGG